This 550-nucleotide ribosomal RNA is filed under the name uncultured bacterium. RNAcentral's name for it is "bacterial SSU rRNA". It matches the Rfam family "Bacterial small subunit ribosomal RNA", at positions 355 to 896 of the family's 1533-position model. The record is from RNAcentral.
UAGGGAAUCUUCCACAAUGGACGCAAGUCUGAUGGAGCAACGCCGCGUGAGUGAAGAAGGUCUUCGGAUCGUAAAACUCUGUUGUUAGAGAAGAACACGAGUGAGAGUAACUGUUCAUUCGAUGACGGUAUCUAACCAGCAAGUCACGGCUAACUACGUGCCAGCAGCCGCGGUAAUACGUAGGUGGCAAGCGUUGUCCGGAUUUAUUGGGCGUAAAGGGAACGCAGGCGGUCUUUUAAGUCUGAUGUGAAAGCCUUCGGCUUAACCGGAGUAGUGCAUUGGAAACUGGAAGACUUGAGUGCAGAAGAGGAGAGUGGAACUCCAUGUGUAGCGGUGAAAUGCGUAGAUAUAUGGAAGAACACCAGUGGCGAAAGCGGCUCUCUGGCCUGUAACUGACGCUGAGGUUCGAAAGCGUGGGUAGCAAACAGGAUUAGAUACCCUGGUAGUCCACGCCGUAAACGAUGAAUGCUAGGUGUUGGAGGGUUUCCACCCUUCAGUGCCGCAGCUAACGCAAUAAGCAUUCCGCCUGGGGAGUACGACCGCAAGGUUG